This 7261-nucleotide long non-coding RNA is filed under the name Eucalyptus grandis. RNAcentral describes it as "long non-coding RNA (EGRA_LNC003798)". The record is from RNAcentral. Lineage: Eukaryota; Viridiplantae; Streptophyta; Magnoliopsida; Myrtales; Myrtaceae.
UUUGAAUGUCAUUACCAUUUGUAAGGGAAAUUAUACAAUAUUCAGCUCAACAGCCUUAUGACCGGGAAAAAAAAAUCAACAGCCUACCAGGUAUGAUUCACUGACUGUGAACCAACCAAAGUUUUACAAAAUAGUACAUUUUUGGAACCUCCGGCGUUAAAACGCACAGAUUACUCAGAGCUACAGAGUAUAUUCUUGACAUCAGCAGCAUCAGACCAAUUUUCAGCUGGAGCCUACCUUUGCCUUUUCAGUAUCCAUUUUAGAACAUGAAGAAACGCCACUCGAAUCAUAUGAGCUUUCCCAAUUCUGUCCAUCAAAUUGCUUGAUCUCGACAUGAGCCAGAGUACCGGGGUCCACACACCUAUAAGUAACGGCGAUUCCAUCUGGAUUUGAUCUUGGCUUGUAAAAUGAAGUUAUACCACAAACUUUGCAAAAAGUAUGCUUUGCCGUGUGAGUGCCAAAAGUGUAGGUUGUAAGGUAUUGGUCCGAAUUUCCCAAAAGUUUGAAUCUUUCAGAAGGGACAAUGAAGUGGAUAUUGCCUCUCAUGGAGCAAUCCGAACAGUUGCAUUUCCAAGCAACUACACUAGUCGGCGCUUCGACUUCCCACCUUACUCUCCUGCAGUGGCAUCCCCCACUAUGAAGUAGAAGCUCAGAUUCCAUAACAGCACGUCCCAACUCACUGGAGGUUCCAGUGUGCGAUGGCCAGAUGCAAGGAUCUAGAUCGAUCUUCACUGCAGUCAAUAUAUCAUGAUAAGUUAUGAGUUGAUUUAUGAAUGCUCAAUUGAAAAGGAUGUAGUAUUCAUGACAGAAGCAAGAGAUAAAAGGAGGGUACAUGGAGAAGAGCUAUUUUGCUAUAUGCAAAGACAGUUUUCCCAUGAUAUAGCUGUGUUGUUUAGAGCCCAGCAACAGUCUACAAAAGUUGUUACCCUACAUAACUCAUGAUUAGGAGCCAGAGAACUCAAGAAAAACAUUCAAGAGGAAAAUGCAUAACGGAUGGCCUUUGUUCAAUCAAUCAAGGCAAAGCAUAUGUUUAGGUUAUGCUUUUGCCUCAAAUAAAAGGAUUUCAGUGACUGGCUGCAGAUUGUUAGGCUAGGCUAAACUACUGUAAACAAUCUAAGAAAAGAAGUAGAAUUCCAGCAAGGAGUCACCUCCAAAUCUGAAGCUAUGUCAUGGAGACACUAAAGUGGACAAAGCAGUAAUGGCGUGAUCAAAUGCAAAUGCAAGUGAUGUGAAUGUCUACAAACAAUUGUGAGCCCUGAAGAACUCAAAAUGCAUAGAUCCGCCUGAUAAUUGUAGUUUGUUGGAGUUGAAAGGAUACACCUCAACACUACUGCUCCGAUAUGAACACUAAAGAUCUCUUGAUUUUAGAACAACAAUAACCUUGAUGGUGAGGAAAAACUUGAGAAGGAAUUGAACAUUUGAUUCACAACCGUACAUGAUGUGAAAUCGGUUGGUCUCACCCGAUAUGAUUCAUCUAUGCUUAAUUUCAAUUCCAUGCACUCGAGAUCACCGUCAAGGACUCUUUAAUUACUAAAACCGGUUGCCUUCAUCACAUCCAUCUUUUCACUUACUAGGAGAUCGGGAAACAGUAAAUGGGGGGCAUCUCUAUAGGCCCUUUCAGUUAAAACUGAUUCUACCUAGCGAAGUGCAUGACGCUUUAGAAGAGGGCAUGUCGGAUCAUAAUCCCAAUCAAAUACAGAUGCAAGAAGCCACAAUUGCCAAGUUGCUCACUGGCUACAUAGUACCCGAUUGAGCUUUUACAAGAUAGAAUGGCACGAGUUCUUGAAGAACUCAAAAAGUUAAAAAGCAGGGAAAUCGAUUCUGCUGAAGCAAGCGACAAGCAAAAUGAUCUGGGACGUCACCUCCUACAUGGGUCUCGUGAAUAAGGUAAGAGUGGAUGGAUGAGAUGAGACAGAGCAUCUGUUUACCUUUGAGAGUUGAGGAGUUGAGGAGGUGGAGGGAGGGCCGGAGCAGAGCAAGCGCAGGAGAGCAGCCCUUAAAGAGAACUUCCGACCGUCGUCAUUAGGAGGCGAAGUAUGAAUUUACAACAACUCUCUCUGCUUGUUGAUUAAAGAAAUGGGAAAAUCAAGCUAGUGCGGCAAAAAAACAAUUCAAAAAGGGACUGUCACGAGAACUACUGGUCAUCAUCAAUAGAGGAGGGUUGGGAUUGUUCUAUCGCACUUCAGUUUAGGUGAUGACACUCGUUUAGUUUUUGGACAUCCUCAAAAUAGAGAAAUAACAAUGAAAUAUCCAUAAUACCCUCACCGUCUCUUAUCAUAUAAAUUGUAUUUAAAACCAUGGUUCAUGAGUGUCUCGAGACACUAGUUAAAUAUAAUUUAUUUGGAAUAAUUCAAUUUCAAAACUUGGUGCAUAACACGAGGGCGGUCGGUACAUUGAAGACCGUAAAGUUUCCUAAAUUAGUGUUUCUGGACGCUCACCAACAAAAUACUGGUAAAUAUUAUUAUGAUUGUUUAGUUAGAGGAAAAGCGAUAUAAAUAUUUAUUAAAUCUUGACUCACUGUACACUCUUAAUUCGUUUGACAUGAAUCUUUAUAGACCUAAAUCAUUUUAACUUGUAUUGGAUUGAUAUUAUGCUAUUUUAAUUUUCUAAUUUAUAGAAUUAACUAACUUUGCUAAAGAAAACAUAAAAAUGCUAUUUCAAAAUUUUUAUCUAUCUAAAAGAUUAGGGACAUUAUUUAGGUUAACUUACAUAUAAGGAUCUAUACAUAAAUUAAUAUAAUUAUAUUAGAUAUCUUUACAAAAAAAAAAAGGAAAAAAAGACACAUAAUUUCAAAACUUUGAUCCAAUAUUCAAUGUUAUCAUUAAACUUUUAAUUUGUUCAAUCAACCUAGUCCCUCAGCCUUCAGUCUAUUCAAUCUAGUCAGUCCUAGAUGGUAUUCGAAAGUUCACGUAAUUACACUAUUGCCCGUAUUUAUAGCAAAUCUCGCAGGCCAACAUAAUGGGUCCACAAAAUAAAGAGGCCAAAGCCCACCCCAUUACCGAUAUGGGCUGGCCCUCUAGUUCUACCGAAAUAGCCAUGGCAUGUUACUGCACUUUCUUCCGUUUCCGUCGGAAGCUCCAGCGUCGGGUUGAACGAUCGGAAGCAAAAAGAAGAAGGCGGACAGGACAGCGAUGGAGGGAGACGCGCUCGCCGAGUCGCUCAACAGUCUCUUCCUCAACCUCUCCACGAUGGUCACAUCCGAACUCCAGGUACCUCGAUUUUGUUUACUCAUUCACACUGAUCUUUGAUUGAAUCAUGAGGCUUGCAUUUAUGCACUCUGAAUAAGUAAAGACAUGUGGUUAUGAUACGAGCAUGGGCUUAACAGAGGUGAGUUCAGCCAUCAUCUCUUUCUCACCACUUUCAAACUGAAUUAGGUUGCUGGAGUUAAAGUGGAAUCACUCACGAGAGGGAAUUCAUAACCCCAGCAAAUGCGAUAAAUGCAAUCAGCUCUUUGUGUCGCCCGACUUCCAUAGUGAAUUCAUUAUCUGCCUCACCUGCGAAUCCUUUUCUCUAUCCCUAUAAGGAUGAGACCGGUCCAUGGCAGCAAGCAACUCUUUGCCUAAGGAGAGUUCGUUAACCCAUAGAUGAAAACAAUGCAAACUUCGGUACACCCCGUUAAGCAAUUGACUCGGUUCAGGUCCUUAGAUGAAAUCUUAAUAAAAACCCGUUUAGCGAUCAAGAUGUGUCUUUAAACAAUACGCAUGUUAUAAUUAUGUGGUGUAAAUCAAGUUAACUUAUCUUUCACGCUUCAAAUAAGAAAAAGCCAAUCCCAAGGUUAAUGAUAUAUAGAGGGUCCAUUUGUAUGCAUUGUCUCCAUGCAGAAGUGGAGAGAGGUUUCCUCGUCAUGGCAUAGAAGUGAGAGUGAUGUUUGGCAAUUUGCCAAACAUCGAUAAUUUCUGUUCUUUUAUUUUCGGGAGUAGAUUUAGAACAGAAAUUUGUUUCGUAAAAUUUUUAUUCCUAAGAACAAAUUUUUAUUGUUUUGUUCCUGGAAGUAGAUUUCGAAUAAAAUCGAGAAGUAAAAAAAUUUUGAUUGUUUAAUUCCCGGAUUAAUUCUAGAAUAAAGCACCUAUUUUCUCUCUUUUCUUUUUUCUUGUUGUUCAUCCCUCUUUCUUCUUCUUCAACUGCACAUCGUCGUUGCCAUCCACCGUCGUCUGCCGUUCAUCGCUAUCGAUUGCCGGCAACCGAUAGGGUGAGAUCUAGCGAGCUUGUCAGAGGCUCGCCCAGCCAUCAACGUCUCGACCUCGUUAGAUUUGGCGAGAUCAAGCCUCGCCGGUGGCCAGGUGGGCCUCGUCAGGGCCUCUCUCAACCAUCGGUGAGGCUCACCUGGCCAAGCGAGGCUCGGCUGACGAGGCACAGCCUCACCAAGGGCUAGUGAUGCUUUAGUGAGAUUGCCGGCCCUUGUCUAACCGGUUGUCGGUCAUUCCAAGGCCGGCCACCUUGAAGAAGAAGAGGAGGAGAAAGAAAGGGAAAAAAAAAAUUAGAAAUUAAAAAAAAAUGAUUUGAAGUAGAUAUUUUGAGGACGAUACGCAAUUCUAUUCCAAGAAUUGAAAUUUUGGACAGUUACCAAACGGUUUAAAAUAUUUAAAAAUUGUUCUCGAAAACAGAAUAAAAAAUAAUCAAUUUUGAUCAUAAAUCGUUCCCAGGAACAUACAUUUUUGAUCAGAAAUUAUUCCUCGGAAGAGAAGCGUUACCAAACAUAAAGGAGUGCACACAUGGUCCGAGCGAAAUAAGUCACUAUGAAUUUGCUUGCAAAGUGAUCAAAUAUGGGAUGUUCGUUGUGAAAUUUCUCUUACAUGAAAUCUUUUUCCUCUAUGUUAAAACCAUACACGUGAUUUAUAGGAUUCUUAUUCCCUUUAUGGUGGCAAAAUUGGGCCUGCUUGUUAAACGAGUCAAGUUGAUUUUGUAGAUAAUUUGGAGGGUCUUGUCCUAUGGGAGCUCAUAUCUUCAGGCUUUUAUGUUCUUGCUUGUAAAUCUAGUGUUAAGUUUGAAUUUGGAGAGCUCAAGUUGUAAAAACCACCAAUGAGACUAUUGUACAUUGGUUUGAGAACAAUAUGAAAAGAAAGAUGGCUUUGAAUUUAUAUGGUCCUCUGUAUUCCAUUAAUAACAUUCGGAAUACACAUUGACCCAUGUUCGAAUCGUCACGUUAUCACAUGAAGUAUUAUCAGUUGAUAGCUAUGGAUAUACUGAGUGGGUCAGUCUACACGCUCUUUGUGCUUUAGGGCUUUGUUAGGGCAAUGACUUUUUGGAAACAUCUACAAUGAACUUCAUGAUGCUUUUACUAUGCUUUAACAUAUUGGUUCCUUUUAAAAAUGGCUUGCAUAGGUCAAAAUCAAUCUCUUGUUGAAGCUCGUCUUCAAAGUUGCAUCGUUGGUUCUCCUCUAAAUUUGGUAAUGAUGGCAGGGUUAUUUCAAGCUGCUCCGUCCCCUUUAUGGCAGACUCAUGUACUAAAGUCCCCUACAGAUUAAAGAGUUUAUGGAAACUUUUGUUUGAUGACGAGAGGCUCUUGUACAUUUGAUGGACAGAACAUCAUGAGCAAAUUCAGGCUUUAGAUGGAAGUUCUAAUGAUGGUGGUGGAUUUUGACAGCUUUUGGGCAGUUCCUUCUUAUUCUUGAAUCACAAGACGGCAUAAACUGGUUUUAUUUAUUUAUUUAUUCCGUUUGCCCCUCAAAGCAGCUUGGCAAUGCAAUAUUAGGGGAUCAACUAUACUUGUUUGAGGAGUGGCUCGGUCAUUGCCUGUAGAACGUGAAAAUUAACUCAGCAAAGGUGGUUUCUAGAUUUAUUGAUGAUCAUGGUUGGAGUGAUUUCAGUAUAGUUGCUUUUCUGGGGAAAACUAAUGCCUCCGGGGCCUUGAGGACAUUGUGGAUGCUUCAGGACUUAAACUCACUCUUUGGGCUUGUUAAUAAAACCGACUAUUAUCAAACGGUGAAAGGUUGGGCAGUGUUAUCCACUAAGAAGUCCUAUAACUUCAUAAGAUUUUAACUUGAAUAUAGGAGCUUACGCCUGUAAUAGGUAGUUGAAGCGUAACCCCCCCCACCCAAAAAAAAAAAAAAAGGCUUGAGACGGAGAAAUUCAUAAAAUAAAUUUGCAAUAUGAAUUUGUUUGACUCUGUUUUGCAGUGGAAACCUUCUGUUGUAUAUGGUGAAAUGUAGUUCUCUGGCUGCAAUUUCAACGGUCAGGUCUCUGUCUAUGCCUUGCAAACGGUGUACUAACGAGAAACCGAGAGAUGUUCACCAAAUUUCAGUUUCCAUUCAUAACACUUCGUGAUAAUACUUGCACACUUAGACAUGAAAAUCUAAGUAGUCGCAUCUCCAACCCUCCAUAAUGUUUACAUACAAAGACAUUGCAGGUUAGUUGGGUACAUCUGGCGAGAUGUGAGACAAUUUCAGAACAGCAGUUACUCCGGUGAAUAUCUAGAAAGAACAUUGUGAUGGAUGCAAAACAUGCGAAAUCCCAAAAUCUCUAUAACCAGAUCAAGAACAUGUAUAAUUGAGUAAAAAUAUUAACGCACCUAUUUUGGGAUCCAUGGUUCUUGAAGCGGAAGCAGAAAUUUAAUAUUCCACGCACAAGUCAUUCUACUCUGGCUCAAUGAAACGGCCCCUCGCCUUUUAGUGCUAGGUAAACACCCUUAUGUGAGGAUACUUAUGAGAAUUGAGGUUAGAGGAGAGACUUAAGCACUAUUUAUAGAGUUUCCAGCCAAGCUUCUCAUUACGGACCAGGCUUAACUUGGCCUAUACUAGCCAGCCCCAUAUUAAACUAAUUAAGAAAAUCUCACUUUAGACUAACCUCAUUUUACAAUAACCAUAAAACGGUAAAUUACAAUAUCAAUUAAUAUAGUCCACAUUAGAAAAACUGUUGCACCAAUAUCAAUAUCAAUUGUCCAUUGAGUAAAUUACAGCACAAAUUCAAGCAGAAUCGUUUUGCAACUCUAUGCAAGAUUUAGUCCUAGUCUUUCUCCAGCCUCAGUGUCUAGUGGGUUUGAAUGUCAUUGCCAUUUGUAAGGGAAAUUAGACUUCAAUGAGAUACCUUGUCAAGUAUCUCGCUUCGAAGGAAAUUAUACAAUAUUCAGCUCAACAGCCUUAUGACCGGGAAAAAAAAAAUCAACAGCCUACCAGGUAUGAUUCACUGACUGUGAACCAACCAAAGUUUUACAAAAUAGUACAUUUUUGGAACCUCCGGUGUUAAAACGCACAGACUACUCAGAGCUGCAGAGUAUAUUCUUGACAUCAGCAGCAUCAGACCGAUUUUCAGCUGGAGCCUACCU